AGCGAACGCUGGCGGCAGGCUUAACACAUGCAAGUCGAGCGGGCACUUCGGUGUCAGCGGCAGGCGGGUGAGUAACACGUGGGAACGUACCCUUUGGUUCGGAAUAACGCUGGGAAACUAGCGCUAAUACCGGAUACGCCCUUUUGGGGAAAGGCUUGCUGCCGAAGGAUCGGCCCGCGUCUGAUUAGCUAGUUGGUGGGGUAAUGGCCUACCAAGGCGACGAUCAGUAGCUGGUCUGAGAGGAUGAUCAGCCACACUGGGACUGAGACACGGCCCAGACUCCUACGGGAGGCAGCAGUGGGGAAUAUUGGACAAUGGGCGCAAGCCUGAUCCAGCCAUGCCGCGUGAGUGAUGAAGGCCUUAGGGUUGUAAAGCUCUUUUGUCCGGGACGAUAAUGACGGUACCGGAAGAAUAAGCCCCGGCUAACUUCGUG
Molecule: ribosomal RNA, 433 nt
Filed under: uncultured bacterium
Lineage: Bacteria
Description: partial 16S ribosomal RNA
Rfam family: Bacterial small subunit ribosomal RNA
Source: RNAcentral